This 306-nucleotide ribosomal RNA is filed under the name uncultured bacterium. RNAcentral's name for it is "bacterial SSU rRNA". It matches the Rfam family "Bacterial small subunit ribosomal RNA", at positions 30 to 334 of the family's 1533-position model. The record is from RNAcentral.
AUUGAACGCUGGCGGCGAUGCCUUACACAUGCAAGUCGAACGGUAACAGGUCUUCGGACGCUGACGAGUGGCGAACGGGUGAGUAAUGCGUGGGUAACCUGCCUUAUACAGGGGGAUAACAGUUAGAAAUGGCUGCUAAUACCGCAUAAGCGCACAGGGCCGCAUGGCCCGGUGUGAAAAACUCCGGUGGUAUAAGAUGGACCCGCGUCUGAUUAGCUGGUUGGUGGGGUAACGGCCCACCAAGGCGACGAUCAGUAGCCGGCCUGAGAGGGUGAACGGCCACAUUGGGACUGAGACACGGCCCAG